Molecule: ribosomal RNA, 588 nt
Filed under: uncultured bacterium
Lineage: Bacteria
Description: partial 16S ribosomal RNA
Rfam family: Bacterial small subunit ribosomal RNA
Source: RNAcentral
UGGGGAAUAUUGGACAAUGGGCGCAAGCCUGAUCCAGCAAUGCCGCGUGUGUGAAGAAGGCCUUCGGGUUGUAAAGCACUUUUAUCAGGAGCGAAACGCUGUCGGCUAAUACCCGGCGGAACUGACGGUACCUGAGGAAUAAGCACCGGCUAACUUCGUGCCAGCAGCCGCGGUAAUACGAAGGGUGCAAGCGUUAAUCGGAAUUACUGGGCGUAAAGCGUGCGUAGGCGGUUUCUUAAGUCUGCUGUGAAAUUCCCGGGCUCAACCUGGGAAUGGCAGUGGAUACUGGGAGGCUAGAGUGUGUCGGAGGGUGGUGGAAUUCCCGGUGUAGCGGUGAAAUGCGUAGAGAUCGGGAGGAACAUCAGUGGCGAAGGCGGCCACCUGGGACAACACUGACGCUGAGGCACGAAAGCGUGGGGAGCAAACAGGAUUAGAUACCCUGGUAGUCCACGCCCUAAACGAUGCGAACUGGAUGUUGGUCUCAACUCGGAGAUCAGUGUCGAAGCUAACGCGUUAAGUUCGCCGCCUGGGGAGUACGGUCGCAAGACUGAAACUUAAAUGAAUUGACGGGGUCAUAGCUGUUUCCUG